AAUAAUAAUAUUAUGGAACAUGUUAAUUAUUAUAAUAUUGCGUUAAUGUGACUGAUAGUUUCUCAAUUUCCGGUAUACAUGGCCUCAUGUUUAUAUCUUAGCCAGUAAUAUUUGGUUUCAAGUGUGUCGUUAACUCAUUUAACGUCAAUAUUAGAUGAUAUUUGAUAAUAGUAAAUAAAACUUGUCAUGGUCUGCACUUAAAUUAUCAUCGUAAAUGAUAAAAUUGACCAUGAGUUAGACGAAAACUAUAACCAAUAACGGUGUUCUUUUGUCUUCAGCGUGUAACAGUUUGACUAGUUAAACUCGUGUCUCGAAUUAUGUUUUACUAAGCAAUAAAUCUAUGCAUUACACUACAUAACCCAUGGAUAUCUGUAUAUUCUAGGAACUCCGUGUGAAAACAGCAUGCAUUCUGUGGCGCCACAGUAUCUUAUUUGUAGCGACGCGUCAAGUAAUUCGUGCUAAACAAUCUUACCGAGUCUUGCGCAUUGACCGAGAUUGCAGGGUCGUGUGCGAUUUUGUUACGGAUUACAAAGGUUUUUUCAGGUGAACCUACUACAACUUACAUGUUUGAAUAAGAAACGCUAUAAAUUCAAACAUUUGUCUCACGUGGAGAAACAAUAUCCGAAGUGUAUUAUAUAAAAAAUAAAAAGGCAAUAGUGGUUCCCAAUAACAACUUGAAAGGCCUAAUCGUCCGGUAACAAAACUGAGAUGGAAAUAAUGAUAACGCAUAAACGAAAGGUAAGUGAUAUCGAGAAAUCGAUUCACAUCGAUGUGCCGUCGUGUCAUUUCACAUUUUUCGAACCGAUGGUUAUGUAUGAAAUUGCCUUUUAAAUGUUACUACAGUAAUAUAAGGAUAAUGUAUUACAUCAAUAUAUAUUUUAUGACGUUUUGUCAAUUUUUCGAUUUAUAUAAACUCAAGAAAAAACUUUUAUUGCAUGUCAUAUCCCUAAAUAGACAUAACGAAUGGGAACAAAAUAACAAUAAAC
Aphis gossypii (cotton aphid) is the source of this 986-nucleotide long non-coding RNA. RefSeq lists it as uncharacterized. The record is from RefSeq and is a predicted model, not a curated record. The transcript is spliced from 3 exons. NCBI's taxonomy places the organism in Eukaryota, Metazoa, Arthropoda, Insecta, Hemiptera, Aphididae.